UCCACCGCGAAGGGCACCGUGGAUACUUUGGUGGCUCGCGUCCAGUCGAGAGUGGACCAAGCCAGGAGGAGGAAAUCUUGGACGAGGCUGUGGAGGCGGAAGGGACCCAGAGGCAGAGGAUAACUCAGAGGUCAGGGAUGCAUGCAGCCGGGAGUUCUCCUCUACCCCGCAGGAGGCUAGCCAGUCACAGCUGUCAGAGCUUGGUGAAGUGCAAACAGGAGAGGAGGCCCCUGAUAUGCCCUUGGGAUCCCAGCCUCCCUCUUUGUUAUCGCCGGCUGAAUGGCUGCUCAGAAUUAGAAAGCGGCCGUGAAGAACUAAAGAGAACUUUCUGCAUGAGGUCAUGAUGCACUCUGUGGCCGAAAAACAAGAAUUUAAGGAGUGGCCGGACAGCGAGAAGAGGGACUGAAAGGAGAAUGCAGUGUGCCAGAACAAAGCCAUGGAGCGGCUCUUAAACAUUAUGGAGUGCCAAGCAGACACGCUCCUGGUGCUACUAGCACUGCAAACCGAGCAGCUCUGCGCCUGCCCUCUCCUGCAGCCACUGUCGCAAAACUCUUUCCCAUGCACCCCCCCAGACACGCCAACACACUCUUAGCAACCUCCUGGCUCUAGUCCAUACCCGUUGCAUUCCACUCCUGCCCCAUCACAGUCCAGCUCUGCGGACGCCCAGUACCCAGUGCACUCAACACCCGUCUCUCUGCAGUUUUGCCCUGCUGAAGUACAGUACCCACUGCACUGUACUCCAGAGGUUAAGGUUGCAUAUGAUACUUGGACAUACACAAAUCCUUGGACUCUACCUCCUCAUGGGACCCUCCCUUCCCCCAUCCCCAACAGUGCUGAUGUGGUGUUUUUUUGUUUUUUUUCUCUCCUCUGAUGGUUGCUUUUUAAUAAAAGAAUAGUUUUGGUUUGAAAGGCAAACAGCCUUGCAAAGAAA
Long non-coding RNA from Dermochelys coriacea (leatherback sea turtle), 931 nucleotides. RefSeq lists it as uncharacterized. NCBI's taxonomy places the organism in Eukaryota, Metazoa, Chordata, Testudines, Dermochelyidae. The transcript has 2 exons. The record is from RefSeq and is a predicted model, not a curated record.